This 265-nucleotide ribosomal RNA is filed under the name uncultured bacterium. RNAcentral's name for it is "partial 16S ribosomal RNA". It matches the Rfam family "Bacterial small subunit ribosomal RNA", at positions 28 to 293 of the family's 1533-position model. The record is from RNAcentral.
GACGAACGCUGGCGGCGUGCUUAACACAUGCAAGUCGAGCGGUAAGGCCCUUUCGGGGGUACGACGAGCGGCGAACGGGUGAGUAACACGUGGGUGACCUGCCCUCAGCUCUGGGAUAAGCCUGGGAAACUGGGUCUAAUACUGGAUAUGACUCCACGGUGCAUGUCGUGGGGUGGAAAGCCUUGUGCGGCUGAGGAUGGGCCCGCGGCCUAUCAGCUUGUUGGUGGGGUGAUGGCCUACCAAGGCGACGACGGGUAGCCGGCCU